CCUUUCAAAGGGCCAGGGCCCAGAACCUGGUGUGUUCUUUGUCUCUCAUCAUGGUGGAUGCAUCGUUAGGAACAAUACAAUGCUUAGAAGAAAUAAUCUCAGAGUUUGUGCAGAAAGAUGAAAUAAAACCUGCUGUGAUCCAACUGCUUUGGGAGCGGUUCACAGAAAAAACCCAGUGCUCACCACUGGAACGCCGUGCAGCUGUGAUGCUGCUGGGAAUGAUGGCACGAGGGAAGCCAGAGAUCAUAGGAAGCAACCUGGAUGUUUUGGUAACAGUAGGGCUGGCUGAGAGAGUGUGUGAAGACUAUCGCUUGGCAGAAGAAGUAUGCAAUGCAAUUUCCAAACUUGCCAGUAAUUCUAAGGUAAAGCUUUCACUUUGUAGUCACA
Molecule: non-coding RNA, 387 nt
Organism: Meleagris gallopavo (turkey)
Lineage: Eukaryota; Metazoa; Chordata; Aves; Galliformes; Phasianidae
Source: RefSeq, a predicted model, not a curated record